GUAGGGAAUCUUCGGCAAUGGACGAAAGUCUGACCGAGCAACGCCGCGUGAGUGAAGAAGGUUUUCGGAUCGUAAAACUCUGUUGGUAGAGAAGAACGUUGGUGAGAGUGGAAAGCUCAUCAAGUGACGGUAACUACCCAGAAAGGGACGGCUAACUACGUGCCAGCAGCCGCGGUAAUACGUAGGUCCCGAGCGUUGUCCGGAGUUAUUGGGCGUAAAGCGAGCGCAGGUGGUUUAUUAAGUCUGGUGUAAAAGGCAGUGGCUCAACCAUUGUAUGCAGUGGAAACUGGUAGACUUGAGUGCAGGAGAGGAGAGUGGAAUUCCAUGUGUAGCGGUGAAAUGCGUAGAUAUAUGGAGGAACACCGGUGGCGAAAGCGGCUCGCUGGCCUGUAACUGACACUGAGGCUCGAAAGCGUGGGGAGCAAACAGGAUUAGAAACCCCGGUAGUCC
Molecule: ribosomal RNA, 450 nt
Filed under: uncultured bacterium
Lineage: Bacteria
Description: partial 16S ribosomal RNA
Rfam family: Bacterial small subunit ribosomal RNA
Source: RNAcentral